ACACCGAUGGUUCAGUGGUAGAAUUCUCGCCUUCCACGCAGGAGACCCGGGUUCGAUCCCUGCCCAGUGCA
Molecule: transfer RNA, 71 nt
Filed under: Loxodonta africana (African savanna elephant)
Lineage: Eukaryota; Metazoa; Chordata; Mammalia; Proboscidea; Elephantidae
Rfam family: tRNA
About the family: Transfer RNA (tRNA) molecules are approximately 80 nucleotides in length. Their secondary structure includes four short double-helical elements and three loops (D, anti-codon, and T loops).
Source: Rfam by way of RNAcentral